This 64-nucleotide transfer RNA is filed under the name Echinostomatidae sp. MSB para 30070. Its description in RNAcentral is "tRNA-Cys". Lineage: Eukaryota; Metazoa; Platyhelminthes; Trematoda; Plagiorchiida; Echinostomatidae. The record is from RNAcentral.
GAGCGUGACGCUGUGUUUAGCGUGGUACUCUGCAAAGGUAUUAGAGAUAGAUUUAUCCUCGCUU